Molecule: small nuclear RNA, 134 nt
Organism: Artibeus jamaicensis (Jamaican fruit-eating bat)
Lineage: Eukaryota; Metazoa; Chordata; Mammalia; Chiroptera; Phyllostomidae
Product: U11 spliceosomal RNA
Exons: 1
Source: RefSeq, a predicted model, not a curated record
ACAAAGGGCUUCUGUCGGGAGUGGCACAGGCAGGGCAGCUUGGUUGUUCUACAUGCGGAGUCGACACCAAGAGACUUUGGGAGCCUACUUUUCUGGUACCCGGGCAGCUGGUGGUCAUUGGUCCUGGUGCCCAC